This 517-nucleotide ribosomal RNA is filed under the name uncultured bacterium. RNAcentral describes it as "bacterial SSU rRNA". It matches the Rfam family "Bacterial small subunit ribosomal RNA", at positions 8 to 518 of the family's 1533-position model. The record is from RNAcentral.
AGAGUUUGAUUCUGGCUCAGGAUGAACGCUAGCUACAGGCUUAACACAUGCAAGUCGAGGGGCAGCAUUUGAAAGCUGCUUCAAAGAUGGCGACCGGCGCACGGGUGAGUAACGCGUAUCCAACUUCCCUUAGUAGGGCAUAGCCCGGUGAAAAUCGGAUUAAUACCCUAUGUUCUUCGUAGAGGACAUCUGAAAUGAAGCAAAGGUUCACCGCUAAGGGAUGGGGAUGCGUCUGAUUAGGUAGUAGGCGGGGUAACGGCCCACCUAGCCGACGAUCAGUAGGGGUUCUGAGAGGAAGGUCCCCCACAUUGGAACUGAGACACGGUCCAAACUCCUACGGGAGGCAGCAGUGAGGAAUAUUGGUCAAUGGGCGAGAGCCUGAACCAGCCAAGUAGCGUGCAAGGAUGACGGCCCUAUGGGUUGUAAACUGCUUUUAUAUGGGGAUAAAGUGAGCCACGUGUGGCUUUUUGUAGGUACCAUAUGAAUAAGGACCGGCUAAUUCCGUGCCAGCCGCAGC